GCCCACUGAUGAUUAUUGAAGGGCCGCAGUAUUUUGACUGUGCGAAGGUAGCAUAAUCAGUAGUUUUUUAAUUAGAAACUUGUAUGAAUGGUUGAAUGAGAUAUAUACUGUCUUUUUUAAAUUUUUGUAGAAUUUUAUUUUUUAAUUAAAAAGUUAAAAUGUAAUUAAAAGACGAGAAGACCCUAUAGAUCUUUAUUUUUGUUUAUUAUAGAUUAAAUAGAAUAAUUAAAUUUAUAUUAUAAUAAAAAAUUUUACUGGGGUGGUAUUAAAAUUUAAUAAACUUUUAUUAGUUAUUUACAUUAAUUUAUGAUUAUUUGAUCCAGUUAUAUUGAUUAAAAAAUUAAGUUACCUUAGGGAUAACAGCGUAAUUUUUUUUUAGAGUUCUUAUCGACAAAAAAGAUUGCGACCUCGAUGUUGGAUUAAGAGUUAUUUUUAGGUGUAAAAGUUUAAAGUUUAGGUCUGUUCGACCUUUGAAUUCUUACAUGAUCUGAGUUCAAACCGGCGUAAGCCAGGUUGGUUUCUAUCUUUAAUAAAAUAUUAUAUUAUAGUACGAAAGGACCUAAUAUAAAAAAUAUAAAUUUUAGGUUUAUGAAUUAUAUUAAUAUUUAAUAAAACUGUUUUGGCAGAUUAGUGCAAUAAAUUUAGAAUUUAUUUAUAUAAUUUAAUUAAUUAUAAAUAGUAUUGUUAUAUAUAGAUUAUUUAUUAUCAUUAAUUGGAAGUUUAUUAUUAGUAAUUUGCGUAAUAGUAGGAGUAGCUUUUUUAACUUUGUUGGAGCGUAAAGUUUUAGGUUAUAUUCAAAUUCGU
Molecule: ribosomal RNA, 804 nt
Filed under: Aedes wadai
Lineage: Eukaryota; Metazoa; Arthropoda; Insecta; Diptera; Culicidae
Description: partial 16S ribosomal RNA
Rfam family: Bacterial large subunit ribosomal RNA (bases 1-562)
Source: RNAcentral